RNAcentral lists this ribosomal RNA (255 nucleotides) under uncultured bacterium. RNAcentral describes it as "partial 16S ribosomal RNA". It matches the Rfam family "Bacterial small subunit ribosomal RNA", at positions 524 to 776 of the family's 1533-position model. The record is from RNAcentral.
CACGUAGGGUGCGAGCGUUUGUCCGGAAUUAUUGGGCGUAAAGAGCUCGUAGGCGGUGUGUCGCGUCGGCCGUGAAAACCUGCAGCUUAACUGUAGGCUUGCGGUCGAUACGGGCAUCACUGGAGUUCGGCAGGGGAGACUGGAAUUCCUGGUGUAGCGGUGAAAUGCGCAGAUAUCAGGAGGAACACCGGUGGCGAAGGCGGGUCUCUGGGCCGAUACUGACGCUGAGGAGCGAAAGCGUGGGGAGCGAACAGG